CUCUAUGGCCAUGCCACCCUGAACAAGCCCGAGCCCGUCUGAUCUCAGAAGCUAAGCAGGGUCGGGCCUGGUUAGUACUUGGAUGGGUUAGUACUAGGAAGACCAGGUGCUGUAGGCA
This 118-nucleotide ribosomal RNA is filed under the name Pteropus alecto (black flying fox). Lineage: Eukaryota; Metazoa; Chordata; Mammalia; Chiroptera; Pteropodidae. The record is from RNAcentral.